This 924-nucleotide ribosomal RNA is filed under the name uncultured bacterium. RNAcentral describes it as "bacterial SSU rRNA". It matches the Rfam family "Bacterial small subunit ribosomal RNA", at positions 1 to 916 of the family's 1533-position model. The record is from RNAcentral. RNAcentral also lists the same sequence under 1 other name.
GGAUCCAGACUUUGAUCAUGGCUCAGGAUGAACGCUAGCUACAGGCUUAACACAUGCAAGUCGAGGGGAAACGAUAGAGAAAGCUUGCUUUUUCUAGGCGUCGACCGGCGCACGGGUGAGUAACGCGUAUCCAACCUGCCCACCACUUGGGGAUAACCUUGCGAAAGUAAGACUAAUACCCAAUGAUAUCUCUAGAAGACAUCUGAAGGAGAUUAAAGAUUUAUCGGUGAUGGAUGGGGAUGCGUCUGAUUAGCUUGUUGGCGGGGUAACGGCCCACCAAGGCGACGAUCAGUAGGGGUUCUGAGAGGAAGGUCCCCCACAUUGGAACUGAGACACGGUCCAAACUCCUACGGGAGGCAGCAGUGAGGAAUAUUGGUCAAUGGGCGAGAGCCUGAACCAGCCAAGUAGCGUGCAGGAUGACGGCCCUAUGGGUUGUAAACUGCUUUUAUAAGGGAAUAAAGUGAGCCUCGUGAGGCUUUUUGCAUGUACCUUAUGAAUAAGGACCGGCUAAUUCCGUGCCAGCAGCCGCGGUAAUACGGAAGGUCCGGGCGUUAUCCGGAUUUAUUGGGUUUAAAGGGAGCGUAGGCCGGAGAUUAAGCGUGUUGUGAAAUGUAGAUGCUCAACAUCUGCACUGCAGCGCGAACUGGUUUCCUUGAGUACGCACAAAGUGGGCGGAAUUCGUGGUGUAGCGGUGAAAUGCUUAGAUAUCACGAAGAACUCCGAUUGCGAAGGCAGCUCACUGGAGCGCAACUGACGCUGAAGCUCGAAAGUGCGGGUAUCGAACAGGAUUAGAUACCCUGGUAGUCCGCACGGUAAACGAUGGAUGCCCGCUGUUGGUCUGAAUAGGUCAGCGGCCAAGCGAAAGCAUUAAGCAUCCCACCUGGGGAGUACGCCGGCAACGGUGCAACUCAAAUGAAUUGACGG